AGCAUAAAACAACUACAAACUUUUUACAAAUAAAAAAAAUUUUUACAGUACAUAGUAUUUUAUAAAAAAUUUACUUAUUAACUCAUAACCGCAAGGGUCAAAUUUUCCAGCCUUUUCAAGAAAUGGUAAUCUCAUAUCCCUUUUGCAUCAUGGAGAAGCAACAAAACCAUAGCAAACUAAACUCCCGAACGACUAUGAGCUACUAACCUUUAAAAAUCAAUGUUUCACAAUUGAUAAAGUAAUUUUUAGUAGAAGUAACAAGCCUUUCAUAUAGUCACAUAGCUGGUUUUUCUUUAAAAGCAUCAAAGUGCCGCCUUAUAGAUAUAAGUGUCACAACACCAACACUAUAAAGUUUAAUUUGUUGAGGAUAAGCUCAGCAAAAACACAAAAAAUACCUUAUUUUCCUUAAUUUUUUAAGUAGGCCUAAAAGCAGCCAUCUAACAACGUUCUAGUUACAACACUCAAACACCUAAUAUUUAUAUACACCAUUUUCACCCUUAAAGAAAUUUAUUGUAUAACGCUAUACAAUAAUAAACAGGCAUCCUAUUAGUAUUAACAUAAUUUAUCUUUCGUUAACCUUAAAAAACUCGAAUCAUUAAAUUUUCUAUUCUACUAAACUUAUAUAAAGCGAACUCGGCAAAUAAAUUCCCUGCCUGUUUACCAAAAACAUCGUCUUUUGAACCCUUCUACAUAAAAGAUAAUGCCUGCCCAGUGAAAUUUUAAACGGCCGCGUUAGCGUGAGCGUGCUAAGGUAGCGUAAUAAUUAGCCUUUUAAUUGGAGGCCAGUGAAUGGCAAGACUAGGAAUAGCUGUACUUUGUAUACAAAAAGAACUUUUCGUCCAAGUGAAAAGACUUAGAUAACAAAGGAAGACGAAAAGACCCCGCGGAACUUUACCUCUUCUUGUAUUUCUGUUUACAUACUUAAAAAUACAUGAGGUUUGAUUGGGGCAAUCUUGGAACCAAUAAAGCUUCCAAUUUUUAUUAAAAAAUAUUUAAAAUUUAUUAAGGACUAAAAAGUAGUUACCCCGGGGAUAACAGCGUAAUCCAACUUAAGAGUACACAUCGAAAGUUGGGUUUGCGACCUCGAUGUUGGCUUAAGGAUAUCCACAUAAGUGCAACCGCUAUGACAGGAUAGUCUGUUCGACUACUACACCCUUACACGAGCUGAGUUAAGACCGGCGCAAGCUAGGUUGGUUUCUAUCUCCUUUACUUAUAAACCUUUUCUUGAUUGUACGAAAGGACCCCAAGAAGUGCAUCUAAUAAAAGCAUCAGUAAACACCCAUCAAAUUUUACCUCAAUCCUUAA
Molecule: ribosomal RNA, 1305 nt
Filed under: Cuneopsis rufescens
Lineage: Eukaryota; Metazoa; Mollusca; Bivalvia; Unionida; Unionidae
Description: 16S ribosomal RNA
Rfam family: Archaeal large subunit ribosomal RNA (bases 864-1207)
Source: RNAcentral